CUGAAAUACGAUACACGGACGGGGUGUUUGUCUCCUGGUUUGACAGACAAACAAAUAUUCUCUGCGGGAGAAUGCGAACAAAACAGAUUGUUUCCAAUUUUUCAUUCUAGUGCUGCUUUGUUUUUCAAGAUGCAUCAUGCUCAGUGAGUCAUACCACAGUUCAGUUAUGAUCUCAGACCCUCUGCAGUUAUCCAAUUUUAAUGAGGAAUUGUCGUCACAGUAAGUGAAAUAGCGCUAACCUUAUUUGAAUUUGCUUAGCCUGAUCCCUACAGUACGUGAGUGGUAUUUCACUUGUUCUGUUUGUAUUUAAUUUUAGCUUAGGCUGUGGUAUUGGCUAUGGCUACUUGCACAGGAUUCCAACCCGUCUGCUUCACCUUCACCCAGAGACUGAAAAUGUUUCACAGUCUACAGCUGCCAACAGCAGACAGCAGCUAUGUGAGCACACUGAGGUGCCUUCAGAAGCCGCGUGUAGCCCUUCCGGUGCAAGUCAAACAGGUUCGCAUCAGGAAGAAGCAACUGUACUUGAACUGAAUGCAUCCCCUCCCCCACAGACAGCUGCACACUUUAGCACCUCAGACAUAAAUGAAGCAACUCCUGAACUGUCCGCUGUGGUUUCCAUCAGAGACGUGAGCUCCAUAGAUGCUAAUUAUGGAGA
This is a long non-coding RNA of Thalassophryne amazonica, 655 nucleotides long. RefSeq lists it as uncharacterized. The transcript has 3 exons. NCBI's taxonomy places the organism in Eukaryota, Metazoa, Chordata, Actinopteri, Batrachoidiformes, Batrachoididae. The record is from RefSeq and is a predicted model, not a curated record.